This is a long non-coding RNA of Amborella trichopoda, 1120 nucleotides long. RefSeq lists it as uncharacterized. NCBI's taxonomy places the organism in Eukaryota, Viridiplantae, Streptophyta, Magnoliopsida, Amborellales, Amborellaceae. The record is from RefSeq and is a predicted model, not a curated record.
GUCGCGUAGGUGGCUUGUUUACGCCAACGGUUCUGAUCGUGCCCCUCAAAUGGACGGUCCACUUCAAAAAGCUUGUCUCUCCUCGAGAGCAUCUUCUGCAACUUGCCUCUAAGACAAGCUUCUUCCUCAGGGCCACCAACUACACUAAAAAUGGUCUCUCUCUCUCUAGUUGAAGCACACGCCUCUCUCUUUCUCAUCGCGCCCCUCUCUGUGAACCUGAAGCACGCUAGCCCCCUCUCUGCCCUCUGUGCCCUAUCUCUCUGCAACUUUCCCUUUCCCUGCAACUUGCCCCCAAGACAAACUUCUUACUCAGGGCCACCAACUAUACUCAAAACAGUCUCUCUCUCUCUAGUUGAAACACGCGCUUCUCUCCCUCUCAUCACGCCCCUCUCUGUGAUUCUGAAGCACGCCCUCCCCCUCUCUCUCUCUCUCAUCGGAAGAUCGCCCCUCUCUGUGAUUCUGAAGCAUGCCCGCCACCUCGCUCUCUCUCUCACAUCGGAAGCACGCCUCUCUCUGUUAAAUCUGAAGGUUAUUUUCAAAGUCCGUUAUAAGAUUCCACUGGUUCACGCCCCAAAAUCUUCUUCCUCUACUCCUGAAUCCUGAUGAGGACAUAGAAUAUUUUUUGUGUAAGUUGUCUUUCAUUUUCUUUCCCCCUUUGUGAGAUAGAUGACUCUAAGCAGUUAGAGUUGGCAUAAUAGAUCAAGCAGUUAGAGUUGGCUUAGUUGGUUACUAUCAUGUAUCUACCCCAAAGCAAGUAAUGUUCCAAGGGAAUUUCAUCCAUAAUAAUAAUUUCUUUCUUUCUAGUGUCUACAAAUGUUUUAAUGUUGUAUAUUUGAAAUUGAAAUCUUGAUACUCGAUUCUAUUAGGCACUGUCAAUAUACAUCCUAGUUUGCUGCCCCGCUAUCGUGGAGCUGCACCUGUUCAAAGAGCAUUACAAUUUCAGUUUCUGCUUGGUUUUAUAUACAAAAGAUUUUGAUCUAUCUUAUUCUUGUUUCCAAAUUCUAGUGUGUGAGUUCUUUUGUCAGAAAAUUUGAUUUUGGGCCUUGGAGUGUCAAUUGUAUAUACAGUUCGGGCCUUGGAUGCUGGAUUUAAGAAAUUUCAAGUUGAUGAUUGCAGCAAA